AGGGAGAGAUACACCAUCAAUCACUUUAGUGGGUGUGUGAGGUCCAUUUAUUAUGAUACUUUAUAUAUCAUAGUCAAGUACUUGGAUAAAAAUUCACAUCCGAGCUUUUCAAUAGGUGUAGUUGGAUCCAUUGAAAAGUGAAGGUCAGUUUGUGGAUUGCCCCUCGGUUAGAGAUGUGCUAAAUUGAGCUACCAUAGAUUUUGGCUCUUGAUGGUUAAAUCAAGCAAAUGCUAGAGCACUGGGCUCUGAUACCACUUGUUGUUCAGAUAUGGAGCCC
RNAcentral lists this long non-coding RNA (277 nucleotides) under Elaeis guineensis (African oil palm). Its description in RNAcentral is "long non-coding RNA (EGUI_LNC037102)". The record is from RNAcentral. Lineage: Eukaryota; Viridiplantae; Streptophyta; Magnoliopsida; Arecales; Arecaceae.